This 440-nucleotide ribosomal RNA is filed under the name uncultured bacterium. RNAcentral describes it as "partial 16S ribosomal RNA". It matches the Rfam family "Bacterial small subunit ribosomal RNA", at positions 338 to 795 of the family's 1533-position model. The record is from RNAcentral.
CCUACGGGAGGCAGCAGUGGGGAAUAUUGCACAAUGGGGGAAACCCUGAUGCAGCGACGCCGCGUGAGUGAAGAAGUAUUUCGGUACGUAAAGCUCUAUCAGCAGGGAAGAAAAUGACGGUACCUGACUAAGAAGCCCCGGCUAACUACGUGCCAGCAGCCGCGGUAAUACGUAGGGGGCAAGCGUUAUCCGGAUUUACUGGGUGUAAAGGGAGCGUAGACGGCAGCGCAAGUCUGGAGUGAAAUCCCAUGGCUUAACCAUGGAACUGCUUUGGAAACUGUGCAGCUAGAGUGCAGGAGAGGUAAGCGGAAUUCCUAGAGUAGCGGUGAAAUGCGUAGAUAUUAGGAGGAACACCAGUGGCGAAGGCGGCUUACUGGACUGUAACUGACGUUGAGGCUCGAAAGCGUGGGGAGCAAACAGGAUUAGAUACCCCUGUAGUC